RNAcentral lists this long non-coding RNA (1330 nucleotides) under Equus caballus (horse). Its description in RNAcentral is "lncRNA (ENSECAG00000050046.1)". Lineage: Eukaryota; Metazoa; Chordata; Mammalia; Perissodactyla; Equidae. The record is from RNAcentral.
CUGGACCUGCCUUGAGGACGAGAACGACGCUCAUUCAUUUCUGAUCCCUUUCUGCCCCCAGUGCAGAGCCUGGCACGCAUCCCGCCAUUCCUUCGCUUUUUUAUUUAUUUCAUACCGAAUGGCUGAGAGCCUGACAGGGGCCAGGCACGGCACAGACUGGGGGACAGCAAAGGUCCCUACCUUCUCGGAGCUGAUGACUGCUGGGGAAGACAGACAACACUAAAUACGGUUAAUUCCUUCACAGCAACUGCACUAAGUGCCACAAAGCAUCAGGCCACGCACUAUGAGGGCUUGAGGGAUGUGGAGCGGGGAUCUGGCUGAAUUCAGGACAAGGGAAGGCUUCCUAGAGGAGGUGGCCUUAAGGCUCAGAGAGGUCAAGAAACUUGCUCAAGGUCACAAAGCUGGUAAGUGGAAAGACCGGGAUUUUAACCCAGAUGCCUGACUCCAAAGCCCACACUCCAUCUGCUACACAACGCUGCCUUUUAUCUCCUCCAUCUCAUUCCUCCCUGGCUCUUCUUGGUGAGAAGGGAGCAAGGUCUGUCUAAGACUGGACACUCUAAAGCAAUGUUUUCCCAGCUUUGGGGAUCAGGGACCCCUUUCAGAAUCUGGUGAAAUCCAUGCGACCUCUCCCAGGAACUACACGUCUACAGACAGACCCACAAAAUCUUGCCUGCAAUUUCAGGGGCUCACAGGCAUCCUGAGGCCCAGGUUUAGAACUCACACCAUGGAGGACCCGAGGACUCUACGGUGAGAUUCUCAGAGUCUCAGAAAGAGAUACCAGGGUCCCCUGGGGACCUCAAAUACCCAGAUGGACCCCAGGACUCUAUAGCAAGAUUCUCAAGAUGCAGGAGAAUGAUCCUGGGAUCCUGUAGAGACGGCCAGUCCCUCCAGGGGACCAGCAAGGCCUGGAGGAGAGAGUCUCAAGAUGCCAUAGACUGCAGAGGAGCCUCAGGCCCUCGCACAGUCAGAGCCCCCACAGAGGAACGGGCACCUGGGAAAGCCCUGGUUCUUACCCCUUUUUGGGUCACUGACACCUACGAAAUUCUCAAGAAAAAUGCAACACACAGCAUGUGACACACAAAAUCACGGGGUUCGCAGACCUCUGGGAGGCCAUCCGCAGCCCCCAGAUUCAGACCUCCUGCUCUUGAGUUUCCACGAGAGCCUGAACCCCGCUGCACCCCUCCCGAGCUGGACCAGGACCACGGCCUCAAGGCACAAGCUUUGGAGUCACACAGACCACGGGCCCUGCCGGUUACCAGCCGUGACCUUGGACCGCUCCCCUACGCACCCUCAGGCCUCAGCAUCUCACCUCCCAAAAGAGAGGCUCGGA